GAAAUGCAGUUACUUCUGCUUACUGUAGACCCUAUGUACACAGGGCACCUGUGCUUUAUGCAUAGAUUGCUGGCUAGGUUUCUACUUCCCCAGGAAAGUACCCUGUGAGGUCGUCUCUGUGAGGCAUUGAGCUGCUGAUGCCCCCCCCCCCUGCAAAGCAUGUGCUGGAGAGAGAGAGAGAGAGAACUGCAUUCUUGCUGAUCAAUUUCAGCUGCAAGGGCACCAGAGAUAUAAGUUCCCAUCACGACUGACUGCAGGCCAUGAUGGCAAUUUAAAGCAGGAGCUGAGUUCGGAUUCUCAAUCCCCAUUGGAUGAACUGGACCAUAAGGAACCAUCCUGAUACAUUCUCCUGUACUCAAAAGAUAAAAAAU
RNAcentral lists this long non-coding RNA (371 nucleotides) under Salvator merianae (Argentine black and white tegu). Its description in RNAcentral is "lncRNA (ENSSMRG00000014885.1)". The record is from RNAcentral. Lineage: Eukaryota; Metazoa; Chordata; Lepidosauria; Squamata; Teiidae.